This 271-nucleotide unclassified non-coding RNA is filed under the name Hevea brasiliensis (rubber tree). The record is from RNAcentral. Lineage: Eukaryota; Viridiplantae; Streptophyta; Magnoliopsida; Malpighiales; Euphorbiaceae.
CAUCCAAAGCAUUAGCCACCAACCUGAAACUCAAAUUACAUAUACAAAUUUUGCUUCAGGACUUCCUUUCAUCACACUUUUAAAGACCAUAAAGACUACUUAUAGGCUUUCAACUUCUUUUAAAUUACCAUUUUCAGAAAGUAUAAUAUUUUUCUAUAAUCAUUAUAACACAGGAACAUCACUAAUCAGACACCCAAAUUGCAUUUGAUGUGAAAGAAAUCACUUGUGAUUCUGUUUAUUUUCUCAAAUCAAAACCCAAAGAAUAGAGCAG